UACGGGGGGGGCAAGCGUUGUUCGGAAUUACUGGGCGUAAAGGGCUCGUAGGCGGCCAACUAAGUCGGAUGUGAAAUCCCCAGGCUUAACCUGGGAGCUGCAUCCGAUACUGGAUGGCUUGAAUUCGGGAGAGGGAUGCAGAAUUCCAGGUGUAGCGGUGAAAUGCGUAGAUAUCUGGAGGAAUACCGGUGGCGAAGGCGGCAUCCUGGACCGACAUUGACGCUGAGGAGCGAAAGCUAGGGGAGCAAACAGG
This 253-nucleotide ribosomal RNA is filed under the name uncultured bacterium. Its description in RNAcentral is "partial 16S ribosomal RNA". It matches the Rfam family "Bacterial small subunit ribosomal RNA", at positions 524 to 776 of the family's 1533-position model. The record is from RNAcentral.